Molecule: ribosomal RNA, 253 nt
Filed under: uncultured bacterium
Lineage: Bacteria
Description: partial 16S ribosomal RNA
Rfam family: Bacterial small subunit ribosomal RNA
Source: RNAcentral
UACGUAGGGUGCGAGCGUUGUCCGGAAUUAUUGGGCGUAAAGGGCUCGUAGGCGGUCUGUCACGUCGGGAGUGAAAACUCAGGGCUUAACCCUGAGCCUGCUUCCGAUACGGGCAGACUAGAGGUAUGCAGGGGAGAACGGAAUUCCUGGUGUAGCGGUGAAAUGCGCAGAUAUCAGGAGGAACACCGGUGGCGAAGGCGGUUCUCUGGGCAUUACCUGACGCUGAGGAGCGAAAGUGUGGAGAGCGAACAGG